RNAcentral lists this ribosomal RNA (496 nucleotides) under uncultured bacterium. RNAcentral's name for it is "partial 16S ribosomal RNA". It matches the Rfam family "Bacterial small subunit ribosomal RNA", at positions 28 to 506 of the family's 1533-position model. The record is from RNAcentral.
GAUGAACGCUGGCGGCGUGCCUAAUACAUGCCAGUCGAGCGAACAGACGAGGAGCUUGCUCCUCUGACGUUAGCGGCGGACGGGUGAGUAACACGUGGAUAACCUACCUAUAAGACUGGGAUAACUUCGGGAAACCGGAGCUAAUACCGGAUAACAUGUUGAACCGCAUGGUUUAACAGUGAAAGACGGUCUUGCUGUCACUUAUAGAUGGAUCCGCGCCGCAUUAGCUAGUUGGUAAGGUAACGGCUUACCAAGGCAACGAUGCGUAGCCGACCUGAGAGGGUGAUCGGCCACACUGGAACUGAGACACGGUCCAGACUCCUACGGGAGGCAGCAGUAGGGAAUCUUCCGCAAUGGGCGAAAGCCUGACGGAGCAACGCCGCGUGAGUGAAGAAGGUCUUCGGAUCGUAAAACUCUGUUAUUAGGGAAGAACAAAUGUGUAAGUAACUAUGCACGUCUUGACGGUACCUAAUCAGAAAGCCACGGCUAACUACGU